RNAcentral lists this ribosomal RNA (460 nucleotides) under uncultured bacterium. RNAcentral's name for it is "partial 16S ribosomal RNA". It matches the Rfam family "Bacterial small subunit ribosomal RNA", at positions 338 to 795 of the family's 1533-position model. The record is from RNAcentral.
CCUACGGGUGGCAGCAGUGAGGAAUAUUGGUCAAUGGUCGAAAGUCUGAACCAGCCAAGUAGCGUGCAGGAUGACGGCCCUAUGGGUUGUAAACUUCUUUUAUCCGGGCAUAAAAUGCAUCACGUGUGCCUUUUUGCAUGUACUGUAUGAAUAAGGAUCGGCUAAUUCCGUGCCAGCAGCCGCGGUAAUACGGAGGGUCCGGGCGUUAUCCGGAUUUAUUGGGUUUAAAGGGAGCGUAGACGGGUAGUUAAGCGAGUUGUGAAAUCGCGCGGCUCAACCGUGACAUUGCGAUUGAGACUGGCUGGCUUGAGUACGGUUGAGGUAUGCGGAAUUCGUGGUGUAGCGGUGAAAUGCUUAGAUAUGACGAAGAACUCCGAUUGCGAAGGCAGCCUACUGAACCGGUACUGACGCUGAUGCUCGAAGGCGUGGGUAUCAAACAGGAUUAGAUACCCCAGUAGUC